RNAcentral lists this ribosomal RNA (421 nucleotides) under uncultured bacterium. RNAcentral describes it as "bacterial SSU rRNA". It matches the Rfam family "Bacterial small subunit ribosomal RNA", at positions 355 to 774 of the family's 1533-position model. The record is from RNAcentral.
UAAGGAAUAUUGGUCAAUGGACGCAAGUCUGAACCAGCCAUGCCGCGUGAAGGAUGAAGGUCCUCUGGAUUGUAAACUUCUUUUAUCUGGGACGAAAACGGGAUUUUUAUCUCAAUUGACGGUACCAGAGGAAUAAGAACCGGCUAACUCCGUGCCAGCAGCCGCGGUAAUACGGAGGGUGCGAGCGUUAUCCGGAUUUACUGGGUUUAAAGGGUGCGUAGGUGGGCUUAUAAGUCAGUGGUGAAAUCUCCGAGCUUAACUUGGAAACUGCCGUUGAUACUAUGGGUCUUGAAUUAUCUGUAGGUGAGCGGACUAUGUCAUGUAGCGGUGAAAUGCUUCGAUAUGACAUAGAACACCAAUUGCGAAGGCAGCUUACUACAUAUAAAUUGACGCUGAGGCACGUAAGCGUGGGGAUCAAACA